CCCAUCCUCGCUCAUCCUCGCUCGGCACCGCUUCAUCCUCGCUCGAACAGGCAGGCUCCAGGCGGAACCCUACCGCCGGCGGCGGCACCUUCAGAUUUCGCAGGUGCUCCGGCGACCACCUCCCGAGCUCCGGUGACCUCCGUCUGCGCAGUUGCAAAAUGUCGGAUGAGUUAGCCA
Lolium rigidum is the source of this 177-nucleotide long non-coding RNA. RefSeq lists it as uncharacterized. Lineage: Eukaryota; Viridiplantae; Streptophyta; Magnoliopsida; Poales; Poaceae. The record is from RefSeq and is a predicted model, not a curated record. The transcript has 3 exons.